This is a long non-coding RNA of Monodelphis domestica (gray short-tailed opossum), 5743 nucleotides long. RefSeq lists it as uncharacterized. The record is from RefSeq and is a predicted model, not a curated record. Lineage: Eukaryota; Metazoa; Chordata; Mammalia; Didelphimorphia; Didelphidae.
GCCGAAGCGGAGCCUCGGAGGAGGCGGGAUGAUCGAGAGGGGGGCGGUGAUAGUUUCCAUGGGGAUCAGGGGACGCGGCUAAAACUAAAAUUUCAAUUGGAAAAAGCGAAGGCACGUGAUGUCCACGAGAUAAUUUCCUUCCAAGUCAGCCCAGUGGGCGUUCACUUGAGAAGUUUUAAUACUUCCUUCUUCCUCGUUCUGCUGAACUUCUGGGCGGUAUUCCCUGAACCCUUCCUCUGGGGCUCGCCGGGCCUUCCCUAGAUCCUCUUGUUAUUUUGUACUUCUGUGGAUUUCAAACCAACCAACCAACCAGUGAAACCUAAUAUUGAAAUAAGGCUCGAAAGAAGACCUCUGUCGCAUACAUAUCAUGUACAGAGUAAACCUGUCACCUCCUAUUAGACUGUGAGCUCCUUGAAGGCAGGCACUGUGCUGAGCGCAUUGAAAAACAUACAUGAUCUCAUUUAAUCCUCAAAAUAACCCUGAGAGGUUGUUGUUGUUGGUGGUCUCUCAAACCGAGGAUGAUGAUUGUCUUUGUGAGUUUUUGUGCACAAAGACACCUGUGCAUGAAGAUUUAAGUGGAAAAAUCGAUGCACAGAGACAGUCCCACUCUCUCGGCGUUGGAAGCCUGGGUCCAGUGGCAUGAAAUGUCGUUACACCUGGAGACUUCCUCAGCUGCAUUGGAUGGCUGUGUUGUCUUUUGUGCUCCAUCACGCCCUAAGCACUCCACAGUGCCUUGCUGCAUCGCCAUCUCAGCCGUUGAACCUUCUUGUUGGUUUCUUCCGCCUGUUCCACCGAAGCAGUCUUCACAUGCUGGAUGAGCAAAGCCCUGGUUCACCAGGGGUCGACGACCUGAUGGCUACCCUCACAAGGUUUGGCCAGCCUGUCGAAGCCGUUGCCCGGGGUGUGGCCGUUGCCACAUGCUAGCAGCUACUGGGAGCCACAAGUGAGAGCUGGGUGUCAGGUGAGGGUCAGUGGCUAGAGAGCUGCCCUAGGAGGGCACGACAAGCCCUCCAUACCAGAGAUAUUACCCCUCCCUGAGCACCCCAUACACCCCUGAGAGGUAGGUGCUGUUAUAUUCCCACUUUACAGAUGAAGAAACUGAGACAGACAUCUGUGAAGUGACUUGCUCUGGUGGAUAAAGCACCAUCAGGAGGACCUGGGAUCAAAGUUGGCCAGAUGCUUCCUCGCUGUGGGACCCUGAGUAAGUCACUUAAACUCAAUUGCUUAACCCUUGUGGUUCUUCCUUCUUAGAACUGAUACUAAGUCAGAAAGUAAGGAUUAAAAAAAAAGAUAAUAAUAAAUUAAAUUAAGUGACUUGCUCAGGAUCAAACAACUAAGUAUCUGAGGCUUCAUUUGAACUCAAUUCUUUCUGAUGAUCUCAUCAUUGUGAAUGUUCCCAUUCCAUAUUCCAGGUACUGCUAGAAAUCAAGGAUAGAAACAAUUCCUCCUUUCAAUGCGCUUAUAGUGAGGCAAAUAGAAGCUCAGCCCACACCAGUGGCUUUAUAUUGUCUCCAGGAUAAAGGAGAAACUCCUACCCCCAUCUAUUGCUCCAGGCUCUUUGGAUAUCACUGGCCCUCUUCUACUCUGUGAGCCAAACUAGUCUCUCUGAUCCUCACACAGGAAACUCCAUCUCCCACCUCCUUGACUUUGCCUGGGCUGUGUCCCAUGCCUGGAAUGAAUUCACUUUUUACCUCUGCCUAAUGGAGUCCCUUUCUCACUUUAAGAGGUAGCUUGGGCUCCAACUUCUGCAUGGAGCCUUCCUUUCAAAUACCUGAAUACAACUGUCUUCUCUUCUUCAGGAUAAAUAUCUUUUGUUCAUUUGGCAACCAAAGAGUCCUUCAUGGAAAACCCACCAUGUGUUAGACAAUGGACUAAGCACUGGAGAUACCAACAUGAUCCAAGCCAGGGUACCUGGUCAGAUGGGUGGACAAACCCAAUACAUAAAACCUUCCUUCCCCCUCUCUCAUCAGAGCCUAAUCCUUGGACCUGUCUGAUGAUCAUUUCCAGUUUCCUUCCUAAUCUGGCUGGAAGUGGGCGGUGCUAAUGGAUUGGGGGGGGGGGGGGGGCGUUUGAUUAAGAGCAACCUGGUGCCAGGGUUUACUGCUGCUGCUGCUAGCUAGAGCUGACAUUAGAGAACACCUGGCCUUUGAGGUUGCUGAGGAUAUUAUGAGCCUUCCUGGACAUCAAGGAAGCCUGGCACAAAUACCUUAUGGGAGGGAGUAGCUAGAAGGCUCAAGGGGUGGAGAGCCAGGCCUAGAGACAGGAGGUCCCAGGUUCAAAUUUGACCUCAGAUACUUCCUAGCUAUGUGACCCUGGGCAAAUCACUUAAUUUUUAUUUUAUUUAAUUUAUUAAUUAGAAUAUUUUUCAAUGGUUACAAGAUUCAUUUUCUUUCCCUCCCCUCCUUCCACCCCCCUCCCCUAGCCAACAAGCAAUUCCACUGGGUUUUACAUGUGUAUUGAUCAAGACCUAUUUCCAUAUUAUUGAUGUUUGCACUAGGAUAUCACUUAGAGUCUACAUCUCCAAUCAUAUCCCCUCAACCCAUGUGAUCAAGCAGUUGUUUUUCUUCUGUGUUUCUACUCCCACAGUUUUUCCCCUUGAUGUGGAUAGAUGGUACUAUCACAGCUAGCAAAGUAAUUUGUCAUCAUUAUGAGAAACUGAGGGUAAUUAAGACAUUGUGUAGUCCAGAGAUGGGAUAAGAUGUAGUCUCUGAGUUUUCUUUAGUUCCCCUAUUUCUAUUCCCUUGUUAAUACUGAUCAAUGAGGAACCUGAAGGUUUGAUUUACUUCUUUGUCCGAUUAGAAUGAAUGGUUGGGAUAUUGAAAGUUUAGGAAUCAAAGAUGUAGAUUUGUCAGUGAGGGAGUUUGAUAGAGGUCCAGGCUAGAAAUGGGUUGCUUAGAGUCACAAGGACUAUAGAGUCAAGAGAUCUUAUGAUUCCAAGUCUAAGGGAGCUCCAAACUAUAAUGUUUCCAGAAGAAAAUAUUCAUUUUGAAUCUUAGGAUGGUCUCCAUGGGGGAACUGGCUGCCCUGGUCUGAGCCAUUUGGACCAAACUUUGGAAUUAGUUCUGGGUUACUUUGGAUAGAUUCAUGGGCUAUGCUUGGACCAUCUCCAAUAAAUUCAAUAGCCAGUGAUGAGUUAUCUCAAGAGGACAAAGUCAAGUUUGACAAUCUCCAAUCUCAAAAUCUGGGAAGCUUCAGCCUACAAAACCUCUAGGGAUUGCCCAGGAGAACAUUGAUGGCCAAGUGUAGCAUGUAAAGAUAAACAACUUUAAAGGACUUCAGAAUCUAAUCAAUACAGUGACCACUGGGCCACUUGGGGGAAAGGGAAUAUAUGAAAGACAAGACAAGCUAUUUCAGGCUAAUUUUUCUCUUGGGCAGACAGAGAAGGAUUCAUCCAAAAAUAACGAGACAGAUUGUCUCUCCCUUAGAGAUUCUAGAAGUCUUCAAACAGGGAAUACUAGCCAAAGAUGAUCUGUACAGGAAGAAUGAAGUAGGAGUCAGUCAAGGCUGGGAUUUCCUAGAACAGGCAACAUAGCCAGGAUAAACAACUUAGAAAAGUUGGCCAAUUAGAGUGGUGUAACAUUUCCCAUCUGUGUGACCCUGAGCAAGUCACUCACCCCUACUUGCCUAAACUUCCCCUUCUGACUUUUUUUUUUAAACCCUGACCUUUUGUCUAAAAAUGUGCUGGGAGCCAUCAAAGACCACACUGUUUGACACAGUCAGACAUGGAAACUAGGGACUGCAAAGCAGCCCCAAGGAAGGAUGGAAUCAUCCACUGAAACUCCCCUAAGUGAUUUUCCUUAUUAAUGUCCCCCCAGAAUAUUACCAGGAGAUCCCACUUACAAAAUUAAACCUAAGGAUUCUUAUAUAUACACUUAGAUAGGACCCUCUUUUCUAGGCAUGAAAACUUCUGGCAAAUCUGUGCUCCGAAUUCCCCAACCUAUAUCUGGGUCAUGUUGAUUCUAUCCUCUGACCCUGCACUGUAACAGUUAAAAUUUAGGAAUAUGGGGAGACUGAGGCAGGUAGAAAUUACUUUCUGCAAGGAGUAUUAUAUUUUUUUAGAGGUUUAUUAAAGGUUAAAGAUUAAAGAAUAUACAAGUAAGAAACAUGUGCCUAGGCCAGAGGCCUAGACAAAAUAACCUCACAUCACACAAGAGACAUGUCUGCUCCAAAAUGGAAGUCCAAAAGCCACCCCUCAAAAGCCUUUGAAUCAGCUUAAAUACCUUCUCGAUCUUGGCCCAGGUGAGAUUACAAGGCAUUCUGGGGAAGUGGAGCAAAGGCUUGUGGGGAUUGUAGUCCUGUAUUCGAGUCUAUUUUUUACAGCACUUAGCAACAAUGUUUUGUUGGCUAUCUCCUUAGGCUUCACAUCUGUUGUUAGGUUUUAUGGAAACAUAUAUGACUUUAUUGUGGGGUUUUCCUUAAUGGAUUUCCCUGACCAGCAGGGUCCCACAAGGGAAGGGGCUCACCUCACCGCUCACCUUUGUGAUGGGACCCGAGGAGAGGUAGGAACCGAGGAGAGGUAGGGACCGAGAACCAGGGUGGAAAUGAAAGACACGGACAAGUCAGUGGUUGGAUAGGGCAGGCAAUCCCUAUGAUACUCCCUUUGAUAGGAAAGUAUGAGUACAAAGGAACACGAGGUAGAUGAGGAGAUUAAGAUAGGAAAUGCAGGCCGAGAUGGUUACAGCCUCCAGGAAGGAGAAGGUCAAGAGGAGAGAGAUAGUCAUUGAGGAGCUCAGUGGAGCUCCAUGGAAGGGGAGAAAGGCCAAGAGGAAGUUCAUUGGUUUGCCUCUGAAUUUAUUCCUGUCCUGCCUGGGCGGUACUCCCAAGGACAUAGUACCCACAUCACAAAGUAUAGACAAUCAAGAUUGGGUGGCAAGGUAGAGAGAACACCUUUGGGCGUAUAGAUUGCAAACCGUGCUUUCCUGGGGAAUUGAGUCCGAGCAUGUUAAUGAGUUUGUCUUAGCCAAGGGCCGCAUGGCCAGUUCAAGGUUACAUUCACAAGCCUCAUUGGUAUAACCUUAUGCUUGGAGACACAGUCGCCAUACAGUCAUUUAUAUUUCAUAGAUGUGAAUAUGCUUGGGAUGCUACACUUUAUAAAAAAAAUUUCUUCUAAUCUUUAUAGAUUAAAUUACUUUAAUUGAACAUAGGAUAGAGUGGAACAGCCCAGAAGGAGCAGAGAAACUACAGAACUGGGACUCAGGCCAUUGGAGUAGAAUAGAAUUAGAAUAGAGAAUAGAGAAGUGCCUAAAUGAGGGUAUCACUGGCAUCAUAAAAAUUGUAAUUUCUAGGACUGGGUGGGUAACGAGGGUUAGGAGAAGGAGUCAAAGAUUCCAUGGAGAUUUCAAAUAUGAGCUAUGUAGCAUACCAGGCAUGUUAGCAUCUGGAAAGUAUGGUUGAUGUAUUGAUAUUGUAUCCUGUAUAUGCAUUUACCAAACACAUGGUCAGACCUCUUAAUGUUCAUUGUAUGGAAAGGGACAGUCCAAAGGACUAGCAUAGGACAGGCAAAUUCAUGGGCUGGGCCUUGACUGCCACGAUUCCUUGGCAGGUUCAAUUAGGGUGCUGACUGCCAUGCCUGGGCUUGGACUACAUUCAUUUGCAAAGCACUGGUUGGAUUAAUCUCCACCUCUUUGAUCUUGUCAUUGUCAGUUCAACCAAUGUUAAUACCUAUGCCAUGUUACAUAUUCUUUGAUCUCCUCCCAAUCCACAUUCCUAAAACCUCUAAUAAAUACUGGGAAACAAAUGCAAA